RNAcentral lists this unclassified non-coding RNA (518 nucleotides) under uncultured Glomus. RNAcentral describes it as "SSU rRNA". It matches the Rfam family "Eukaryotic small subunit ribosomal RNA", at positions 569 to 1089 of the family's 1831-position model. The record is from RNAcentral. Lineage: Eukaryota; Fungi; Glomeromycota; Glomeromycetes; Glomerales; Glomeraceae.
AGCAGCCGCGGUAAUUCCAGCUCCAAUAGCGUAUAUUAAAGUUGUUGCAGUUAAAAGCUCGUAGUUGAAUUUCGGGAUCAAUUAAUUGGUCGUGCCUCUGGUACGUACUGAUUUUAUUGGUUUCUCCCUUCUGACGAACCAUGAUGUCAUUAAUUUGGUGUCGUGGAGAAUCAGGACUGUUACUUUGAAAAAUUAGAGUGUUUAAAGCAAGCUAACGCUUGAAUACAUUAGCAUGGAAUAAUGAAAUAGGACGUUUGAUCCUAUUUUGUUGGUUUCUAGGAUCGACGUAAUGAUUAAUAGGGAUAGUUGGGGGCAUUAGUAUUCAAUUGUCAGAGGUGAAAUUCUUGGAUUUAUUGAAGACUAACUACUGCGAAAGCAUUUGCCAAGGAUGUUUUCAUUAAUCAAGAACGAAAGUUAGGGGAUCGAAGACGAUCAGAUACCGUCGUAGUCUUAACCAUAAACUAUGCCGACUAGGGAUCGGAUGAUGUUAAUUUUUUAAUGUACUCAUUCGGCGUCCG